RNAcentral lists this ribosomal RNA (455 nucleotides) under uncultured bacterium. RNAcentral's name for it is "bacterial SSU rRNA". It matches the Rfam family "Bacterial small subunit ribosomal RNA", at positions 923 to 1379 of the family's 1533-position model. The record is from RNAcentral.
GCACAAGCGGUGGAGCAUGUGGUUUAAUUCGAAGCAACGCGAAGAAACCUUACCAAAUCUUGACAUCCUCUGACCACCCUGGAGACAGGGUUUCCCUUCGGGGCAGGGUGACAGGUGGUGCAUGGUUGUCGUCAGCUCGUGUCGUGAGAUGUUGGGUUAAGUCCCGCAACGAGCGCAACCCUUAUGACUAGUUGCCAGCAUUCAGUUGGGCACUCUAGUGAGACUGCCGGUGACAAACCGGAGGAAGGUGGGGAUGACGUCAAAUCAUCAUGCCCCUUAUGAUUUGGGCUACACACGUGCUACAAUGGACAGGUACAAAGGGCAGCGAGACCGCGAGGUUAAGCGAAUCCCAUAAAACUGUUCUCAGUUCGGAUUGGAGUCUGCAACUCGACUCCAUGAAGCUGGAAUCGCUAGUAAUCGUGGAUCAGAAUGCCACGGUGAAUACGUUCCCGGGC